Molecule: transfer RNA, 83 nt
Filed under: Eubacteriales bacterium
Lineage: Bacteria; Bacillati; Bacillota; Clostridia; Eubacteriales
Description: tRNA-Ser
Rfam family: tRNA
About the family: Transfer RNA (tRNA) molecules are approximately 80 nucleotides in length. Their secondary structure includes four short double-helical elements and three loops (D, anti-codon, and T loops). Further hydrogen bonds mediate the characteristic L-shaped molecular structure. tRNAs have two regions of fundamental functional importance: the anti-codon, which is responsible for specific mRNA codon recognition, and the 3' end, to which the tRNAs corresponding amino acid is attached (by aminoacyl-tRNA synthetases). tRNAs cope with the degeneracy of the genetic code in two manners: having more than one tRNA (with a specific anti-codon) for a particular amino acid; and 'wobble' base-pairing, i.e. permitting non-standard base-pairing at the 3rd anti-codon position.
Source: RNAcentral
GGUGUUGUGGCGUAAUGGUAUCGCAGUAGAUUGCUAAUCUAUCCUACGGAAACGUAGUCCGGGUUCGAUUCCCGGCAGCACCG